GAUGAACGCUGGCGGCGUGCCUAAUACAUGCAAGUCGAGCGGACGGACGCGACGCUUGCUUCUCUGUUGUUAGCGGAGGACGGGUGAGUAACGCGUGGAUAACCUACCUAUAAGACUGGGAUCACUUCGGGAAACCGGAGCUAAUACCGGAUAAUCUUUUGAAGCGCAUGGUUCAAAAGUAAAAGACGGUCUUGCUGUCACUUAUAGAUGGAUCCGAGCUGCAUUAGCUAGUUGGUAAGGUAACGGGUUACCAAGGCUACGAUGCAUAGACGAACGCAGAGGGUGAUCGGCCACACUAGAAGUGAGACGCGCACCAGAGUACUACGAGACGCAGCAGAAGGGAAUCGGCCGCAACGGGCGAAAGCCUUACGGAGCGACGCCGCGCCAGAGAUGAAGGUCUUCGGAUCGGAAAACUCGGUUAUUAGUGAAGAACAUAUGUGGAAGGAAACGAAGACAGCGUGACGGUACUGAAUCAGAAAGCCACGGCUAACUACGUG
This 497-nucleotide ribosomal RNA is filed under the name uncultured bacterium. RNAcentral describes it as "partial 16S ribosomal RNA". It matches the Rfam family "Bacterial small subunit ribosomal RNA", at positions 28 to 507 of the family's 1533-position model. The record is from RNAcentral.